AUUGAACGCUGGCGGCAGGCCCAACUCAUGCAAGUCGAGCGGAUGAAGUUUGCUUGCUCCUGUAGUCAGCGGCGGACGGGUGUGUAAUGCCUAGGCAUCUGCCUGGUAGUGGGUGAUAAGGUCCGGAAACGGGCGCUAAUACCGCAUACGUCCUGAUGGAGAAAGUGGGUGAUCUUCGCACCCCCCACUAUCAGAUGAGCCUAGGUGGGAUUACCUAGCUUGUGGGAUAAAGGCCUACCUAGGCGACGAUCCGUCACUGGUCUGAGAGGAUCAUCAGUCACACUGGAACUGAGACACGGUCCAGAAUCCUAAGAGAGGCAGCAGUGGGGAAUAUUGGAUAAUGGGCGGCAACCUGAUCGAGACAUGCGGCGUGUACAAAGAAGGUCUUAGGAUCUUCAAAAACAUAAAAAUGGGAGGAAGGGAAGUAAGCUCAGGCCUGGCUGUCUAGACGUUAAAGAGGGAGAGGGCGGAGGAUCACUUCAUC
This 484-nucleotide ribosomal RNA is filed under the name uncultured bacterium. Its description in RNAcentral is "partial 16S ribosomal RNA". It matches the Rfam family "Bacterial small subunit ribosomal RNA", at positions 30 to 507 of the family's 1533-position model. The record is from RNAcentral.